CUUAGAUAGAAGAAAUGAUUGUACCACAAAAUGAAAAAACGGUGCUCUAUAUCGUGUUUCAAUCAGAAAAGAUUAUGAAGAAACUUGCUAAAAAUCCUGAAAAAACUAUCAAGGGAAAGAAGGUUGUUAUUUCAAAAUCAACAUUACAUAUCAGACACCAUGCCAAAACCUCCAGGACAGAUUGUUGUUGACGAAUUUAAAUUGACAGGUUAAAUUUUCAACCAAAGAUAUUAAUUUUCAA
Long non-coding RNA from Belonocnema kinseyi, 241 nucleotides. RefSeq lists it as uncharacterized. The record is from RefSeq and is a predicted model, not a curated record. NCBI's taxonomy places the organism in Eukaryota, Metazoa, Arthropoda, Insecta, Hymenoptera, Cynipidae. The transcript has 3 exons.